UUCAUUUCCUCAUUGACAAAUCUUACCUGCGGUGCACCUCAAGGCUCGAUUCUGGGCCCCAUUCUUUUCUGUGUUUACACGCUUCCCUUGGUCACAUAAUUAAUAGACGUAAUAUAUUGUUUCAUUUUUUUGCAGAUGGUACACAAUUUUAUCUUCCCGUCAACCCCACUUCGGUUGACCUAAAAGGCUGCUUUGAUGAUAUUAAGUUUUGGAUGUCGUGCAACUUUCUUUCAGCUUAAUUGACGAGAGACUAUAUUGGCCACACCCAGCCUGACAGUCAAAAUUAAUGGGCAACUUGACUUCAUGCCAACAAAUACCAAGCCAUCUGCCGGACAUUUGGCAGUAUGUUUUUAUUCUAACCUGAACUUUAUUCAGAACAGGUUAUUCAUUAGUCUUGUUUUUAUCAGUUUAUCUCUUAAACCAAAUCUGUCUGCCGCUGACUUUGAGAAAGUUAUUCAUGUCUUCAGAUUAUUGUGACUCUCUUAUAUUCAGCACAUCGUAAAAAAAAUGCCCUAAAUAAAAUGCAAUUGUUUUAUAUCUCUACAUACAAAGACACACACACUUGAGUUAGCAGAAAAACUCUUCUCACAGUUCCUGAAUCUAGAUUUGUAACCAAGGGUCUCCUGGGCCGUAUUAUAUUAGACUUUAUUUAUUAUUCUCUCUCAUGUACCUGGACUUUUUUUUUUUAACUUUAUAACGUUAUCACCGUCUGUUGUGUCCUCUGCCAAAGCACUUAGUAAAUAUGUCGAGAUAAGUGCAAAUACAAAUACAGGUGCUAAGUGGUUUUCCUUGUCCAGAAGCUUACAACAUUUUCCCAAGUGGCCGAAAGGAGUCACGCAGAGUAGCUCCUGAAAAGAGUGUAAAUGUAGAUUUUCUUUCACCUAACAAGGGUGUUUUUACCCCCAGUUUUAUUUUGCAUGUCAUUCAUUUGGAAAAAUGAAAAAAAACUUGAUGUUAGCUGUUUUUAAAAACAUGUUUUUGAGUCCUCCGCUCCGGCAGGUGGCGGUAAACCGUCCAGCGGUUACCAGUGAAACGCUCACUGAGCAUGCGCACAGACUUUACCCGGAAGUGUAGCUAGUAAACAACCGACCACGACGCCUCGGGGGGGAGCGAAGUUCUCCUGUUUUUUUUGAUUUUCAGACCGCCGCUAAAAUGUCUAAAAUCGAGAUGCUGAGGGUGCUGAUCAACCAGCGGCUCACCGCGGCCGCAGAGGAGAUCUUCGGGGUGUUCGGGAGAACCAUAGCCGAGUACGAGGAGGAGAUCUCCCGCUCCAAGCUGGAGAUCGACCGCCAGCGCCGGCUGCUGGAUCUCUCCAGGCAGCCGCAGAUAUCUCUGCAGGUCAGCAGCUCAGCUUCUGGGAAACAGGGCUGUCUGUAUCUGUAGCCUGUUCAGUGUGAAAGUGGCGCUGCUGCUCGGAUCUAUGGAGCGAUUUAAAGAACCAUACAGGUACUUUUUUUGCUUUUGAGCCAAUUACAUACAAGUUGCCUUUUUUUAGUUAUUUGAUACCUGAGUUUCUGUACCGAAACCAAAGUGAUACUUCAGUUGAUAUCUUAGUUUGAGAAAUAUCAGAAAACCCUAUUCAUUCAACAAAAACAGCAGAGAAUCUCAAAUGUUAAAUGUUGUCUUAACACAAGCAGUCGUAGAAGAACUGUCUAAAUAAAAUACAAUUUCGGUUGCUACCAAAAAAGUACUGCAGUUUGAUACCCGGCCAUCCCGUUCUCCAAAACAGACCAUGAGUGUGUAGGUUUGUUAAACAAUAUUAUCUACACUAGGGCUGCAACCAGUUGUUUAAAUUUUUCCAUUAAUUGAUUAAUCAUUUAGUCAGUGAAAUGUCAGAAAAUUGUGAAACAUGCCCAUCGCAUAUUGAAAUGCUUUUUUUGUCCGACCAACAGUCCAAACCCCAAAACAUAUUCAGUUUACAGUAAAAUAAAACAGAGAAAAGCAGCAAAUUUGUACAUUGGAGAAGCUGGAACGACUUAAAAAUGACUUACACAAUGAAUCUACCAUCAAAAUUGCUGGUGAUUAAUUUUCUGUCAGUUGACUAAUCAUUUCAGUACUAAUCUUAAUUCAAGGUCCACUAGUCUCAAUUUAAUUUAAAGUUUUUUUUUUUAAAUUUUCAAGAAACAAUCAUAAAUUUUCUGACUUCCACGUCUAUGUAUUGUUUGUCUUUUCGAUUUUCCAUUUCCAACAACAUAUUUCACCUGCUGACUGUGACUUCUCUGAAAUUGGCGGGUCCUGGAACGCACCAGCAAGGACGAAAUGGCCACUGCUCUAACUGUCUGUAUGCAGCAAGUUUUAAGUCUCUGCAUGUUGACGUCCAUAGAAAAGAACAGAAGGAAUCUAAAAAGUACCUUGUUUUGAAGAAUUGGUCAGCAGUAAUGUUCUGUAGACACUUGGAAACCAUCAAAUCUGCCACAGAGAACAGAAGAUCAGAUUUGCUGUUCUCAUGUGAACACGGCCAUUAAUUUAGACUUGACCGAGACUAGACUAGACUAGACUUCUUCCCAGUGACCAGAACUACACUAAUCUCAACUCUCAAACAGUUCCAGUCAGACGAGAUUCGUGUUCGAGAUGAAGGAGGAUGAUGUAACCUCUUCAAAUGUGAGCCGUGACACAGAUCCCCCUUUACAUGAAGUAGGAAUCAAUAUCAAACUGCUGCUUUGUCGUCUGUUAUUAAAUCUGAACAAAACGAUCUCUCAGUCUGGUUUGGAAACGCCUGAUGCAGCGUGACUUUUACAGCACCCCUUAUUCAGCAGGUGCUUCACAUCCCAGAUUUCGCCCCCCCACCACCACCACCACCACCGUCUGGUGCUGGCGGACUCAAAGUUGCAUCAUUUGGUGCAGAGCCUGCUCGCCCCGUCUCCAGCAGACAGGGAUACCUCACUAGCACUCUGCUGCAGCAUCUCCGUGGCUUCAUUAUUGCUUAAUCUGUGCUGCGAGUGUGUGUCCGGCGAGCAGAGCGAGUCAGAUAAAACUAAAAUCUGGGCAGCAGCUGGGAACCAAACAGACGCUUAAAAACUCACUGAAAAAAGUUUGUUUAAUAACUGACAUCAACCGGCUGCUGUUUACUGGUUUUUGUCUUUCAAGCCUUUACCCCCUAACUAAUGUUUCUGUUUCGACAUUUCAGAAAUCUCCCGGCAGGAUCUGAAGAGGUCAGUGUUCAUAUGAUUUACACAUAGCAGCGGUUAACUUUCCUCAAGGAUCAGACGCCGUUUCGUGUGUCACAGCCUGUGAUUAGACAGCAAGUGUUCUUUGGCGUCAACGUUCAGUCUUUGGAAACACUUUUAACCAAAAAACCUGAACUCAGGGUCCACUUACUAUCUUUUUUCCAAGGCUUUUAACCACAUCUCAUGGUCUUCCUCAGCAGAUGGAUUCUGCAGAGUUGGCAUGGAGAUGGGAGAGACAAGGAUUAUGAUCGCCACCACAAAAUACAACCAUCUGUUAUGACGCGACUCAGUGAUGAUGCCUGAGGAGGGCCGUGACAUAAGGUCGAAAGCUCUGAAAACCGCUAGUAUAAGUGGACCCUGAGUUUUUUUGCUUUUUCUCAAAUCGUAGUGAUUUCUUUACAUUACUGCAGACCAUCAGUUUUUGGAUUGAUUACCUUUUUGCGUGAAAAUCUACCUCCAGAGAUGUGAAAAUGUGCAUUUUUGCAUCUAAGAUAAUUAAUCACAGUGCCUUGUUUUAGUCCAAACAUGGCUGGACGAUACGAUACCAUCAAAUUCAAUUAAUUUGGAUUUUUGUUUUAGCACAGUGUGUACAGUACACUGUGUAAAUCAUGCACGAAAUUUCAUAUCUAUACAGGAUAGCCUGUACUUUUUAAAUACUGACAGCUUUGCAAGAGGUGCAGUGCUUUUGUUGUUGUUGCUCGAGUGUUUUGCAUAUGUGUGUCUAAAAUAAUAGACGUGUUGUGUUUUAGUGUUUUUUCAUUGUGCAGAAAAAAUUGGGAAUAGUCUCCCAAGUGUGGCGGGAAAAAAACACAAUUAAAUUUUGUUAUAUAUAUAUAUGUCACUGUUAUUAUCGCGUGGCAGUGCAGUCAUGAGUUUGGUGCGUCCAAAGACUCCUCAGCACGUUGACAUUUGGGAGUCAGCUGCUGAAUGAAAAGAAACUUUACGUUAUCAAAUUCAAAUGGUCCUGGCUUAUCGUUUGUGUUCUGGCUGUGAUGUAUCUCAUUCAUUCAAAGCUGAAGUCGUGUAUUCAUUCUCAGAUGUCCGAGCCUCCCUGAACUCACCAUCAAGGAGAGUUUUCCAAAUCUCCCGGGCUUCGUUACCACACGACGACAACGCAACUCGAGAAACAUGAAGGUGAGUAAAUAUUCACUGGGAUUAAUUAGCAAGGUUACUUUUUGUAGUUUUUAAUUUUCCUGCCGUUGACUUUCACUUCACAUGAGACGUUUAACACCAGGACUUCUGACUUUUUAUAAUUACCUUUAAUAACUGUUGUUUUUUUGCAUUAAAGAGGUCCGAAACCUGAGUCAAUACAAAAUCAUAUUUUAUGGAAUAUGGUCAGCAGUAAUAUAAAGUGUGCCAUUUGUAGCUAAAACAUGCAGAACCACCAGUACGGCUCUUUAUAGGUUAGUCUUGGCAGCAGUUGAGAGAUGAUAUUCAGGCUUGAGUAUCUCUCUACCGUUUUUGAAACAUUUCCAGACCUUUUUUUUUUGAAGUCAAACCUUUUCCAAAUCUAAAAAUGAUCACAUUCAUUUUCCAGACAUUUUCAAAGUUUACCAAACCUGCACAGCAACAUGUUGAAGCAACACGGGCAGUCAGCUCUGUCAGCCGUUUGCGUUGUUUUCCACCAGUACUUUAGGUCCAUGCAGCUCAUUGUUUUAUUUACAGGUGUUUUGUUGCUGUUGCUGGCAGUGCUGCUCAUCUCCACUGCCUCAAACUGUUGCCUGUGUAUUUUACUGUUAACCUUUGACCUCUGCAGUUGUUUGGUUUGUCUCUUGUCAGUUUCAGGACGAGUGUCCAAACAGAAGAAACGGACAGAGUAAAAAAAGUGUUCUUGACCACUGGCACACACUGGGAGGUAAACGUGAAACAGGAAACAGCUGAUUCCCUUCACAGUCGGGUAUUUUUAGACCAUCU
Molecule: RNA transcript, 5081 nt
Organism: Siniperca chuatsi (mandarin fish)
Lineage: Eukaryota; Metazoa; Chordata; Actinopteri; Centrarchiformes; Sinipercidae
Gene name: zinc finger and SCAN domain-containing protein 21-like
Exons: 2
Source: RefSeq, a predicted model, not a curated record